RNAcentral lists this ribosomal RNA (253 nucleotides) under uncultured bacterium. RNAcentral describes it as "partial 16S ribosomal RNA". It matches the Rfam family "Bacterial small subunit ribosomal RNA", at positions 524 to 776 of the family's 1533-position model. The record is from RNAcentral.
UACAGAGGGGGCAAGCGUUAUUCGGAAUUAUUGGGCGUAAAGGGCGCGUAGGCGGCUUGGCAAGUGGAAGGUGAAAUCCCUCGGCUUAACCGAGGAACUGCCCUCCAAACUGCUUUGCUUGAGGCCGGGAGAGGUAAGUGGAAUUCCCAGUGUAGCGGUGAAAUGCGUAGAUAUUGGGAGGAACACCAGUGGCGAAGGCGGCUUACUGGACCGGUUCUGACACUGAGGCGCGAAAGCGUGGGGAGCAAACGGG